AUAUCUCUCUGUACGGGAAGGAUGAGAAGCUUCGACUAAGGUUCGAUUCGAGCGUCAGCGAGAAAGCGUUGCCGCAGGCAACGACCCGAAGGGCGAAGCGCGCAGCGCUGAGUCAUCCUUCCCCC
This 125-nucleotide small RNA is filed under the name Salmonella enterica. Its description in RNAcentral is "partial RtT sRNA". It matches the Rfam family "RtT RNA". From Rfam's summary of the family: This family represents a bacterial cis-regulatory element known as RtT RNA. RNAcentral also lists the same sequence under 2 other names. Lineage: Bacteria; Pseudomonadati; Pseudomonadota; Gammaproteobacteria; Enterobacterales; Enterobacteriaceae. The record is from RNAcentral.